CAUUGAAAGACCCGUUCCCUUACGAUCAUCGAAGUUAAGCAACAUCGAGCUGGUCAGUAUUUAGAUGAGUAACUGCUUGGGAAUACCAGCUGCU
Non-coding RNA from Acanthosepion pharaonis, 94 nucleotides. The record is from the annotation of a GenBank genome assembly. NCBI's taxonomy places the organism in Eukaryota, Metazoa, Mollusca, Cephalopoda, Sepiida, Sepiidae.